CAAAUGCUAGCAGCUACAGCUAUUUUCCCCUGCCCUAUUUUAAUAUUAUUUAUUUGGGCAAUAGAAAUAUCUGAAGUAUGAGAAGGAGGCUGAUGGUCCCACAGUCAGCGGACAGAAGAUUUGCAGGAAUUAAUAUAUUGGUUUCUGAUAACAGAAGCAUGACUGCAACCAAUGUGCCUUCACAUUACCAUCACAAAAUCAUUGUUAGUGGAAUGGCACAAGUGAAACCCAAGACUUACACACCUUAAAUGCAAAGCUAGUUGCAUUGUGAUAUGGCUUAACAGUUUCUGCAGACUCUGGAAUUCUGGAAAUGACUGAUCAGAAUGUUUCUCAAUAUUUCCAAUAAACUAUUAAACAAUUUAUAUACAACUGUUAGCUGUAUUGUCAGGUAAAAAAGUCAUUCUGCAAUGCAACAGUGUAAUUGUUUGUAGACUGAAGCAACACUAUUGCUUUUUUGACUGUUUACAUUAAAACUCAAAGAAAAAAGACAUAGACUGUAAGAUGUUAAUAAAAGUUAUUAAU
Schistocerca piceifrons (Central American locust) is the source of this 522-nucleotide long non-coding RNA. RefSeq lists it as uncharacterized. NCBI's taxonomy places the organism in Eukaryota, Metazoa, Arthropoda, Insecta, Orthoptera, Acrididae. The record is from RefSeq and is a predicted model, not a curated record. The transcript has 3 exons.